This 493-nucleotide ribosomal RNA is filed under the name uncultured bacterium. RNAcentral's name for it is "bacterial SSU rRNA". It matches the Rfam family "Bacterial small subunit ribosomal RNA", at positions 28 to 531 of the family's 1533-position model. The record is from RNAcentral.
GACGAACGCUGGCGGCGUGCCUAACACAUGCAAGUCGAACGAGGUCCAUGCAGUGGCAACACUGCGGAAGACCUAGUGGCGAGCGGGUGAGUAACACGUGAGGAACCUGCCCCGAAGACCGGGAUAACCCUCCGAAAGGAGAGCUAAUACCGGAUGCCCCCACCUGGUCGCAUGGCCGGGUGAGGAAAUGGAUUCCGCUUCGGGAGGGCCUCGCGGCCUAUCAGCUAGUUGGUGAGGUAACGGCUCACCAAGGCAUCGACGGGUAGCUGGUCUGAGAGGACGAUCAGCCACACUGGGACUGAGGCACGGCCCAGACUCCUACGGGAGGCAGCAGUGGGGAAUCUUGCGCAAUGGGCGAAAGCCUGACGCAGCAACGCCGCGUGGGGGAUGAAGGCUCUCGGGUUGUAAACCCCUUUCAACAGGGACGAAAUUGACGGUACCUGCAGAAGAAGCCCCGGCUAACUACGUGCCAGCAGCCGCGGUAAUGUCUAGC